Molecule: ribosomal RNA, 406 nt
Filed under: uncultured bacterium
Lineage: Bacteria
Description: partial 16S ribosomal RNA
Rfam family: Bacterial small subunit ribosomal RNA
Source: RNAcentral
AUUGAACGCUGGCGGCAGGCCUAACACAUGCAAGUCGAGCGAGCGGCGGACGGGUGAGUAAUGUCUGGGAAACUGCCUGAUGGAGGGGGAUAACUACUGGAAACGGUAGCUAAUACCGCAUACCAUCAGAUGUGCCCAGAUGGGAGUAGCUAGUAGGUGGGGUAACGGCUCACCUAGGCGACGAUCCCUCGCUGGUCUGAGAGGAUGACCAGCCACAAUGGAACGGAGACACGGUCCAGACUCCGCCGUGAGCCAGCAGUGGGGAAUAUGGCACAAUGGGCGCAAGCCUGAUGCAGCCAUGCCGCGUGUGUGAAGAAGGCCUUUGGGUUGUAAAGCACGUUCAGCGGUGAGGCGUGACCCGCAGAAGAAGCACCGGCUAACUCCGUGCCAGCAGCCGCGGUAAUAC